This 78-nucleotide transfer RNA is filed under the name Hyella patelloides LEGE 07179. RNAcentral's name for it is "tRNA-Leu". It matches the Rfam family "tRNA". Rfam says of the family: Transfer RNA (tRNA) molecules are approximately 80 nucleotides in length. Their secondary structure includes four short double-helical elements and three loops (D, anti-codon, and T loops). The record is from RNAcentral. Lineage: Bacteria; Bacillati; Cyanobacteriota; Cyanophyceae; Pleurocapsales; Pleurocapsaceae.
ACUCCUGUAGCCCAAUUGGAAGAGGCGACAGACUUAAAAUCUGUUCAUGUAUGGGUUCGACUCCCAUCAGGAGUACCA